Molecule: long non-coding RNA, 2005 nt
Filed under: Gossypium raimondii (Peruvian cotton)
Lineage: Eukaryota; Viridiplantae; Streptophyta; Magnoliopsida; Malvales; Malvaceae
Description: long non-coding RNA (GRAI_LNC004269)
Source: RNAcentral
AUGCUUUAUGAGUGACAGUGACGAGUCUUUCAGUGCUUGAAGAAACUAGCUCUGAUGACUCCUCACCCGCUAAUAAGAAAUGAAGCUGUCAAUUCCAAUUUAAGAUGCCUACAGUAAGCAGUAAGACAGAAGUGAAAACUGCAAUGGAGGUAUGUAGAGACUCAUUAUUGCUAAUUUGUAGGUAUUGUUUGAUUAGCACUUUGAAUGCUUAAAAAGCACUUCCAAAUUGCCAAGGGAGAUAAGGAUUAUGUACUACUGCCAUUUUUAUAAAUUUUACGAGGUGUUGAUGAAAAUAAUCAAAAUGGAGUAGGCUCAAGCAUUUACCGAAAUCUGCAAGUAUAAAUCUUUCUGUUGUGUUCGCAGAGCUAAAAACAAUUAGCAGGAAUAGGUGUAAUUACUUUUUUAAAUCCCAUCAGAUAUCAGUUAUGUUUCUCUUGAAGUGUGAAAGUAUGUAGCUUUUCAUUUCGGGUAACCUAAGACCUGAGAACUAUGGACUGAAUAGCAGUUGCAAACACAAGGCAUUUCCUUGAAAGUAAGCAGCCAAAAAAAAGAAACUUGGAGGGCUAAUAGGAAAUAGAAUAAUGGAUGUACAGUGUACUGUUCUCUUGAUAGAUAGAAUAGAUGUUGCAGAUCACCAGUUUACACUUAUAUCUAAUAGGAAAUAGAAAAUAGAAAAAAUUAGACAUUCUUUGUAGUAGCUUAGCUAGCUAUGUUCUAAGGGUUCGCACAACGAUAAAUCAUAAAUCAAUUGAAGAAGGAUAUGGACGCGUGUCAAGUUCUCAUUAUCCAACGUCCAUUGCUUUCACACAUAUUGAUAUGUGGUGAUAGUUUCAUCACUUGGCUAUGAAUAAUAUCAACAGUGAGACAAUAAACCCUAUGAAUAAUGUAAAGGAGAAUGGAUCACAUGGUUUUAUACUGGUUAAUUUUAAGUAGUCAAGUGAAUCUUACUUAUUUCUUAAUAAAAAGCUUUGAAGAAAUUUUCUAUUGUUAUUGACAGGAGAGUAGUAUCUAACGUUCGUUGACUCUUGUUACGCUUCAGCGAUAAGGUUAAUUAGCCUACGAUUUAUUAGUAGCUUUGUGUUUUUCUUUAUGUGCUGAGAAAAUAGGCUCUUUACGAUUAAAAAUUGCCACCUGUCUUUAUACGCGAUUAAAUGUAGAGAGCAAACUAGCCUAACAGUUUUGUAUUUUUUAUGAAUCUAAAUUUUAAAAAUGUGGAAAAAUAUGUUUAUAUGCCAUUUUUAUGAGUGUUGUCGUGCAAGGCCCUUUCAAAACAGAAAGGGACCAAGUACAUAUUUUGCCACUGAAUUUGUUGUACCAUUUAUAACUUUUUUCUCUUCUUGUUCAGGGAUCCUGUAAUUUUUCUUGUAAGAAAAAGCUGUUUGCUUUGAAAGCAUAAUCCAUAGAAGAAAGUGUGACAUCCAAAUAAUAUCUUCUUCUAAUCAGAUUGUAAUUCUUCAUAUUUAUUAAUAUACUUCAUUCAGCAGUUUAAAGGAACAGAAAAUGGAAACCAAAGCAAUUGUAACUAUUUCGGAAAUUUAAAAAACUCCAGCAAAAGCUAAUUCAAAUUCAUUGCUUUGUCAACUAAAAAUCCAACUCAGAUUAAAAAAAAGGCAACAUAGACAAAGAAUUUUAAAGCAAAAAGCUGAAAAACAUCUUAACUAGUUGAAAAGCUAUGGUGCAGGGACGGUAGGAAAUGAACUUGCUAUUGGGUUCUUCACAGCGAUGCUCUUCCGAUUGCAGCCGUUGAGGGAUAGUUUUUUGGUGAGAUUGAUGAUGGAUGUUGCAUCUCCAGUUUUCUUGGUCCUCCUCAACUCUUCUUCCACUUCUCUGUCUCCUGCUUUUGAUUGCUUCUGCAUCAAGUGAUUAUAACCUCAAUGUCAAAACUAUGAAGAAAUUAUAAGAUUAUAUUUGCUUUGGGGAUGAGUACACGAGAGGAAGGCAUAUUUCAGGAAGUUCCAAACCACAAAUUUGUAAUGACACAGAGAGAGAUUGAGAGAACUCACAG